Diabrotica virgifera virgifera (western corn rootworm) is the source of this 1525-nucleotide long non-coding RNA. RefSeq lists it as uncharacterized. The record is from RefSeq and is a predicted model, not a curated record. Lineage: Eukaryota; Metazoa; Arthropoda; Insecta; Coleoptera; Chrysomelidae. The transcript has 4 exons.
AAAUUUUAUAGCAGUUUGAUUUUAAAUUUGACAGUUCUGUUUUCUCAAGUCAAAAAUCUUAACCUUACUUUUACAAGUGAUUAGGAUUAUUAUUAUUUUAUUUACAUGUAAAUUGAAAAUAUAAAUAUUGUGCUGUGUCAUAAUUUCAAACUCAUUAUGUUGCAGUCUUUUCCAGUUGAUAAAAUUGCAAUUCAAAAACUUAGGUAGAUUUGCACUGUAUGGAUGAUGGCACAGGAAGAGAACAAGAGUACAAGAACAUGAAACAUCUUAUUAUGAAUGUAUAUGUAUGUGAUCCUCAAAAAAUUAUUUUACAAAACAAGAUAGAGAAAGAGCUUUAAAAUCCCAAGGAUCCUACAAAAUGUUUAUUUGGUGUACUAGUCGAAUAAUAGUAUCUAAAAAUAUUGAAACUAUUUUAAAACACAUUACGGGCAUGAGGAUGAUAUAGAGCACUUACAUAAAUACCAAAAUCAGAUAAAUAUCUCUUCAAAGUUUAUUUUGAGGCUUUCUUCCAAAAUUAAACUUCAGACUGUUCAGGAUAGUAUAAUAGCAUAUGAGGCGAAUUAAAAAGAAUUGAUUUACUUACAAGAUAUCACAAACAUUAAACUCUCUUAUGGCAUUGAUUUGAAAGAUGGGUAUAUAUGUACAAUGAUGAUGCAACCAGUGUUUAUUUUUGGGUUGAAUGCUUACAGUUGACGCAUCGAUAAUUAUUUGUCGAAACGACCAUGUGUUGUAUCAAAUAUAAUUUGUAUUCUGAAUAUCCAAUCGACUUGGGAUUUUUUUAUUUUGCCUGCUAGAGGGUUAAUAGCUUUUUGGGUAGACCUCUAAGUGAUGCAGAUACAUACAAUUUUAGUAAGUAUUUCCAGUAGAACUACUGCAAUAACAUCCAACAAUGGGCCUAUUGUUAUAGGAAGGGGUUGUGGAAUUAAUACCAAUAUGACCAUUCAAAAUUUUCAUAAAAUUUUGGAUAAAAGGGUAUCCAUUAGUUGUUAUCAGUUAAGUUUAAAACUUGGCACUCAUGGAGAGCUAUACCAUAAUAUAUAAUAAGUAUAUUAUCUCAUAAUAUUACAUCUCAUAUUGUUCACUACAGUAGUAAUGAGUGAGCCUGCAUACACAGAACCAUAAUAAUAUAUUAUAGUUUGUGUAUGCAGGCUCACUCAUUACAAUAGUGAGCAAUAUGAGAUAUAACAUAUUAUAGUAUAAGUCUCUGUGCAUGACCAGAUUAACAUGUUUGGUGCCCAUCUUGAACAAGCUCCACUUGGCUGGUACCACAUACUUAAAUCAUUUGUUUAGUUACACAGCACUACUCACAUAACUUAUGUGUCGUCAGUACCUUCCGUAAAACCUUCGUGAUGCUACCCAUACGUCAUGGCCACUGAAUGUGUUAAAGUUUGUUAAUGUAGGAGAGUUAUACUAAAAUAUAUAUCUUAUAUUGCCUUAAAUAGAAAAAAUAUCUUAUUUAAAUUGUACCCAUGUAAGUUUUGAUAUAAUGAAAUAAACCUUUUAAUCAAAAAAGUGUUGUUUACUU